UUAGUGGCGGACGGGUGAGUAACGCGUGGGCAACCUGCCUUACACAGGGGGAGUAACACUUAGAAAUAGGUGCUAAAACCGCAUAAGCGCACAGCUUCGCAUGAAGCGGUGUGAAAAACUCCGGUGGUGUAAGAUGGACCCGCGUCUGAUUAGCUUGUUGGCGGGGUAACGGCCCACCAAGGCGACGAUCAGUAGCCGGCCUGAGAGGGCGGACGGCCACAUUGGGACUGAGACACGGCCCAGACUCCUACGGAAGGCAGCAG
This 263-nucleotide ribosomal RNA is filed under the name uncultured bacterium. RNAcentral describes it as "partial 16S ribosomal RNA". It matches the Rfam family "Bacterial small subunit ribosomal RNA", at positions 92 to 354 of the family's 1533-position model. The record is from RNAcentral.